RNAcentral lists this microRNA precursor (204 nucleotides) under Oryza sativa Indica Group (long-grained rice). RNAcentral describes it as "MIR812 microRNA precursor family". It matches the Rfam family "MIR812 microRNA precursor family". Lineage: Eukaryota; Viridiplantae; Streptophyta; Magnoliopsida; Poales; Poaceae. The record is from Rfam by way of RNAcentral.
AAAAAGACAAACCUUGGUUUCCGUGUCCAACGUUUGACCGUCCGUCUUAUUAAAAAAAUUAUGAAAAAAAUUAAAAAGACAAGUCACGCAUAAAAUAUUAAUCAUGUUUUAUCAUCUAACAACAAUGAAAAUAUGAAUUAUAAAAAAAUUUCAUGUAAGACGGACAGUCAAAGUUAGACACGAAAACUCAGGUUUGUCUUUUUU